GACGAACGCUGGCGGCGUGUCUAAUACAUGCAAGUUGAGCGCUGAAGGUUGGUACUUGUACCAACUGGAUGAGCAGCGAACGGGUGAGUAACGCGUGGGGAAUCUGCCUUUGAGCGGGGGACAACAUUUGGAAACGAAUGCUAAUACCGCAUAAAAACUUUAAACACAAGUUUUAAGUUUGAAAGAUGCAAUUGCAUCACUCAAAGAUGAUCCCGCGUUGUAUUAGCUAGUUGGUGAGGUAAAGGCUCACCAAGGCGAUGAUACAUAGCCGACCUGAGAGGGUGAUCGGCCACAUUGGGACUGAGACACGGCCCAAACUCCUACGGGAGGCAGCAGUAGGGAAUCUUCGGCAAUGGACGAAAGUCUGACCGAGCAACGCCGCGUGAGUGAAGAAGGUUUUCGGAUCGUAAAACUCUGUUGGUAGAGAAGAACGUUGGUGAGAGUGGAAAGCUCAUCAAGUGACGGUAACUACCCAGAAAGGGACGGCUAACUACGUG
RNAcentral lists this ribosomal RNA (497 nucleotides) under uncultured bacterium. Its description in RNAcentral is "partial 16S ribosomal RNA". It matches the Rfam family "Bacterial small subunit ribosomal RNA", at positions 28 to 507 of the family's 1533-position model. The record is from RNAcentral.